CAUUUUAUGAGUUUUUGAGAAUACGAUGAGAAACUCGUCAAACAGUUGGCUAAAAUUGAAUUUACUCUUGGUAUACUGACUCUUGCAUGCAAAAAUAUAACCCAAAUGCAAAAGCCACGAGCCCAAGGACAUG
RNAcentral lists this small nucleolar RNA (133 nucleotides) under Drosophila grimshawi. Its description in RNAcentral is "snoRNA:GH25815". The record is from RNAcentral. Lineage: Eukaryota; Metazoa; Arthropoda; Insecta; Diptera; Drosophilidae.